RNAcentral lists this long non-coding RNA (1204 nucleotides) under Homo sapiens (human). RNAcentral describes it as "HSALNT0057270". Lineage: Eukaryota; Metazoa; Chordata; Mammalia; Primates; Hominidae. The record is from RNAcentral.
GCGUGAUCUCGGCUCACUGCAACCUUCACCUCCUGGGUUCAAGCAAUUAUUCUCCUGCCUCAGCCUGCGGAGUAGCUGGGACUACAGGCGCGCGCUACCAUGCCCAGCUAAUUUUUUGUAUUUUUAGUAGAGAAGGGGUUUCACCAUGCUGGUCAGGCUGGUCUCAAACUCCUGACCUCGUAAUCCACCCUCCUUGGCCUCCCAGAGUGCUGGGAUUACAGGCGUGGGCUACCGUGCCUAGCUGAGAGUGUCUAUCUUAGCAGGAAUAAACUAGACACAGGUCAGACAGGAGCCACAAGGGUAUCUGCUGGUAUAAACAAGUUUCCUGUGAGAGGGACAUCUGGGCAUGGGUCCAGACACUUGAGUAUUAGGCUGUCUGCAAGACAAAAUGUAUCUCAUGAAAAGCAUACUUUAAAAAUUCACAACCUAAUCCUCUAGAAUCCCGUCAGGGCAGAAAUAUAAAUUAUACUCACACUUCAGAGAGAAACUUUCAGACCAAAUUAGAGGAAAAUCACAAGAGGGAACAUUGGAAAAGAGUUUAGGAGUUGACCAGGGCCAGCAUCAUGGCCACGUUAUCCAGGUCUUCAAGCAGGACCAUGGACUCGAAGGACCCCACACUUGCUUUAGGGCUCUAACAUCAACAUAUUUAAAUUCCUAAUAAUUUUAUCUUCAAAUUUGUGUUCUGUAAGUGAAGACUGAGGAGCCAAUGGAACAUUCAUGUGAAAAGAGGAGAUACCUGAGAUUUGCAUAUUUACCAUUUUUUCAUCUUAUUUUUAUAUAAAGUUCACGAUGCCCCAUGAUCACAGAAUUCCAUAGGACCCAGUAUGCAUGGGAGUUCAGUGAGACUCAAACCAAUGACAAGGAAAGAAAGCCAUAAAUGGAUUCAGGAAAUCUAUUUGUCACAUCUCGUUUGAAGAAUGGUGAAGUAAAGGCAGUCCACUAAGAGUUUCAGCUUUCCCCUUUAACAUUGUAGGAAGGAUCAUCUAUGCAGCUUGAAAAUUGUUUUGUCGAGGUGUAUGACAUUUUCAUCUCCCAUCAUGUGAAAUCGCCUGCUUCUGCUUUGCUCUUUGCCAUGAUUGUAAGUUCCCUGAUUCCUCCCCAGAAGCUGAUACUGCUAUGCCUCUUGGACAGCCUGUGGAACCAUGAGCCAAUUAAACAUCUUUUCCUUAAAAAUUACUCAGUCUCAGGUAUUUCUUUUCAGCAG